RNAcentral lists this ribosomal RNA (445 nucleotides) under uncultured bacterium. RNAcentral describes it as "partial 16S ribosomal RNA". It matches the Rfam family "Bacterial small subunit ribosomal RNA", at positions 354 to 796 of the family's 1533-position model. The record is from RNAcentral.
GUGAGGAAUAUUGGUCAAUGGGCGGAAGCCUGAACCAGCCAUCCCGCGUGGAGGAAGACGGCCCUAUGGGUUGUAAACUUCUUUUCAAGGGGAAGAAAGUUCGCGACGUGUCGCGAUUUGCCGGUACCUUUGGAAUAAGCAUCGGCUAACUCCGUGCCAGCAGCCGCGGUAAUACGGAGGAUGCGAGCGUUAUCCGGAUUUAUUGGGCUUAAAGGGUGCGUAGGCCGAUCGAUAAGUCAGCGGUGAAAUACCAUGGCCCAACCAUGGAACUGCCGUUGGUAAUGUCGGUCUUUAAUAUGGUCAAGGUAGGCGGAAUGUGUAAUGUAGCGGUGAAAUGCUUAGAUAUUACACAGAACACCGAUUGCGAAGGCAGCUUACUGGUCCAUUAUUGACGCUGAGGCACGAAAGCGUGGGGAUCGAACAGGAUUAGAAACCCCAGUAGUCC